UUUGCCCUCAAGCCAAUCUGCAGCACCAAGACACGCACGUGCAAUGCCCUGAAGGUGAAAAGUGUAAUUUUACAGUUACCAGGCACAUUAACCCAGGACAGGAAAUCAUCCAGAAAGCUCAAAGCAGGAAACUUAAAGGAGGAAAAAACAAAAGAUGAAAAGAGACUUUUUUUUUUUUAAGAAAAAAAUGCUGAAUGAUGUGUCAGGACCUGCACCCUCCUUCCGCAAACCAAACGCCAACGUCAGUCCAGGAGAAUAAUGCAUGAGAACUACAGUGAAAUGAAGAAAAAAGAGAGAACAAGAGCGUGAGAGAAAGUGCACGGGACUGCAGGAGGAGGAGGAUGUGUAUCAUUUCGUUACCAGCAAAACAAACACGAUGCCAUCGGAGUGAUGGGAUUGUUGUGACCAUGAAAGAAACACUCCAGCACACCGCGGGGUCACGUGUUGAUGCUGGCACCGAAAACUGGACUGUGCAUGCUACCAGGGUGACUGCUGCAGGCUCUGCCUUCCUCAGGAGGGAUUGAUGGGACCCAAGGACAGCUCUGCGGGGUUUGUUGAGAUUCCUGCUGCCUACAGGGAUAUCGGGGAGAUGCACCUGGUUUAUACCUUGGAUCCAGUAUGUACAACCUGAAAAGUGGCAAUAUUUGCCAGGUUGGAGGGCAAGCGGAGAUAAGAUCACAAACAACAGGCCAGGUUAUCACACACAUCCCUGGUUAGCUUAGCUGGAAAAUGAGAUCCACAAGGGUUCAGUUACCAACCUGUUUGACCUCCACUCAUCAUAGGAUCACAGAACAGGUUGGGUGGGAAGGGACCUUUACAGCUCAUCUAGUCCAGCCCGUUGCUGUGAGCAGGGACACCUUCAGGUCAAUCAGGUCGCUCAGAGCCCGUCCAGCCUCACCUGGGAUGUGCCCAGGGAUGGGGCAUCGACCACCUCUCGGGGCAACCUGGGCCAGUGUCUCACCACCCGCAGCGUAAAACAUUUCUCCCUUCGAUCCAGUCUGAAUCUGCCCUCCUUUAGUUUCAAACCAUCCCCCCUUGGCCUGUCACAGCAGGCCUUGCUAAAGAGGUCGCCCCCACCCUUCCUACAGCCCCCCUUUAAGCCCUGGGAGGCCGCAAUAAGGUCUCCCCGCAGCCUUCUCUUCCCCGGGCUGAACCACCCCAGCUCUCCCAGCCCAGCCUCGCAGCAGAGGGGCUCCAGCCCUCGGAGCAUUUCUGUGCCCCCUCUGGCCCCGCUCCAACAGCCCCGUGUCUGUCCCGCGCUGAGGAGCCCCGAGCUGGAGGCGGUGCUGCAGGGGGGUCUCCCAGAGCGGGGCAGGGGGGCAGCACCCCCUCCCUCGCCCUGCUGCCCGCGCUGCUGGGGAUGCAGCCCCGGGCACGGGUGGGGGUCUGGGCUGCGAGCGCACGUUGCCGGCUCGUGUCCAGCUUUUCACCCCCAGCACCCCCAAGCCCUUCUCGGCAGGGCUGCCCUCCAUCCCCCCAUCCCCCAGCCUGUGUGGGUACCGGGGUGGCCCCGGCCCAGGGGCAGGACCCUGCACUUGGCCUUGUUGGACCUCAAGAGGUUCACACAGGCCUGCUCCUCGAGCUCAUUGCAGCUGACAACUGCAACCUUUGUAUGGGAAUCAACGCAUUCAGAGCAUAAAGUCACAAAUGGGACCAGCACACCUUGGUUCUUCUCCUCCUCCAUCCUGAUCUGACGUACAAACUCAGGGAAGUCUCACAACUUACCCCAAGCCUCUUUGUAUCCCUCUCUGUGGUGAUAUUUCAGGAGUUUAAGUGGUUCUGUCUGUCGCAUCACCAUUUCUUUUUACUUCAGCUGUAAGAAAGGCAUAAAAGGGCAUUAAUAUUAAACUGCUCCAUGCUU
This is a non-coding RNA of Phalacrocorax carbo (great cormorant), 1861 nucleotides long. The record is from RefSeq and is a predicted model, not a curated record. NCBI's taxonomy places the organism in Eukaryota, Metazoa, Chordata, Aves, Suliformes, Phalacrocoracidae.